UAAUACGUAGGGUGCGAGCGUUAAUCGGAAUUACUGGGCGUAAAGCGUGCGCAGGCGGCUUUAUAAGACAGAUGUGAAAUCCCCGGGCUUAACCUGGGAACUGCGUUUGUGACUGUAAAGCUAGAGUGUGGCAGAGGGGGGUGGAAUUCCACGUGUAGCAGUGAAAUGCGUAGAGAUGUGGAGGAACACCGAUGGCGAAGGCAGCCCCCUGGGUUAACACUGACGCUCAUGCACGAAAGCGUGGGGAGCAAACAGG
Molecule: ribosomal RNA, 256 nt
Filed under: uncultured bacterium
Lineage: Bacteria
Description: partial 16S ribosomal RNA
Rfam family: Bacterial small subunit ribosomal RNA
Source: RNAcentral